GCCUCGGUUUUCGGAAUAUUCAAAUCCGUUGGUGGGGUGUCCGGGGCUUGCGCUGGUCACAGGUCCUCCCAGAAGCAGGGGAAUUUAGCCACUCAGUGCGAUCUCCUGUUAUAUUAGUGAUUCAUGCGGGAGGCAAUGACCUUUGCCUCUUAAAAAUCUGUGUAGAGCAAGCUUUGUUUUUGUUGGGUGGGGGUCGUAGCGCCGUGUAGG
Long non-coding RNA from Bufo bufo (common toad), 210 nucleotides. RefSeq lists it as uncharacterized. Lineage: Eukaryota; Metazoa; Chordata; Amphibia; Anura; Bufonidae. The transcript is spliced from 3 exons. The record is from RefSeq and is a predicted model, not a curated record.